This 495-nucleotide ribosomal RNA is filed under the name uncultured bacterium. RNAcentral's name for it is "partial 16S ribosomal RNA". It matches the Rfam family "Bacterial small subunit ribosomal RNA", at positions 28 to 507 of the family's 1533-position model. The record is from RNAcentral.
GACGAACGCUGGCGGCGUGCCUAAUACAUGCAAGUAGAACGCUGAAGGAGGAGCUUGCUUCUCCGGAUGAGUUGCGAACGGGUGAGUAACGCGUAGGUAACCUGCCUGGUAGCGGGGGAUAACUAUUGGAAACGAUAGCUAAUACCGCAUAACAGUAGAUGUUGCAUGACAUUUGCUUAAAAGGUGCAAUUGCAUCACUACCAGAUGGACCUGCGUUGUAUUAGCUAGUUGGUGAGGUAACGGCUCACCAAGGCGACGAUACAUAGCCGACCUGAGAGGGGGAUCGGCCACACUGGGACUGAGACACGGCCCAGACUCCUACGGGAGGCAGCAGUAGGGAAUCUUCGGCAAUAGACGGAAGUCUGACCGAGCAACGCCGCGUGAGUGAAGAAGGUUGUCGGAUCGUAAAGCUCGGUUGUAAGAGAAGAACGAGUGUGAGAGUGGAAAGUUCACACUGUGACGGUAGCUUAACAGAAAGGGACGGCUAACUACGUG